AGCCAGAACACAGGUGUCCUGAAAACUAUCCCUAAAAGCCAAAAUGGGAAAGGAAAAGACUCAUAUCAACAUUGGACACGUAGAUUCGGGCAAGUCCACCACUACUGGCCAUCUGAUCUACAAAUGCAGUGGCAUCGACAAAAGAACCAUUGAAAAAUUUGAGAAGGAGGCUGCUGAGAUGGGAAAGGGCUCCUUCAAGUAUGCCUGGGUCUUGAAUAAACUGAAAGCUGAGCGGGAACGUGGUAUCACCAUUGAUAUCUCCUUGUGGAAAUUUGAGACCAGCAAGUACUAUAUGACUAUCAUUGGUGCCCCAGGACACAGAGACUUCAUCAAAAACAUGAUUACAGGGAAAUCUCAGGCUGACUGUGCUGUCCUGAUUGUUGCUGCUGGUGUUGGUGAAUUUGGAGCUGGUAUCUCCAAGAAUGGGCAGACCUGAGAGCAUGCUCUUCUGGCUUACACACUGGGUGUGAAACAACUAAUUGUUGGUGUUAACAAAAUGGAUUCCACUGAGCCACCCUACAGCC
Rhinopithecus roxellana (golden snub-nosed monkey) is the source of this 524-nucleotide RNA transcript. It is a transcript of the gene named elongation factor 1-alpha 1 pseudogene, with no coding region annotated. Lineage: Eukaryota; Metazoa; Chordata; Mammalia; Primates; Cercopithecidae. The transcript has a single exon. The record is from RefSeq and is a predicted model, not a curated record.